This 87-nucleotide ribosomal RNA is filed under the name Marinobacter sp. RNAcentral also lists the same sequence under 2 other names. Lineage: Bacteria; Pseudomonadati; Pseudomonadota; Gammaproteobacteria; Pseudomonadales; Marinobacteraceae. The record is from RNAcentral.
UGAUCCCAUCCCGAACUCAGCCGUGAAACAGACCAGCGCCGAUGGUAGUGUGGCUUCUGCCCAUGUGAGAGUAGGUCAUCGUCAGGC